GAUGAAGAACGCAGCGAAAUGCGAUAAGUAAUGUGAAUUGCAGAAUUCAGUGAAUCAUCGAAUCUUUGAACGCACAUUGCGCCCGCCAGUAUUCUGGCGGGCAUGCCUGUUCGAGCGUCAUUUCAACCAUCAAGCCCCCGGGCCUGUGUUGGGGACCUGCGGCUGCCCGCAGGCCCCGAAAACCAGUGGCGGGCUCGCUGUCACCCCGAGCGUAGUAGCAACACCUCGCCCAGGGAGUGCCGCGGGCACCGGCCGUAAAACCUCCUCUCGCCCCCCCCCGCGGGAGGGAACACCCCAAAGGUUGACCUCGGAUCAGGUAGGAAUACCCGCUGAACUUAAGCAUAUCAAUAAGCGGAGGA
Molecule: unclassified non-coding RNA, 359 nt
Filed under: soil metagenome
Description: partial contains 5.8S ribosomal RNA, internal transcribed spacer 2, and large subunit ribosomal RNA
Rfam family: 5.8S ribosomal RNA (bases 1-120)
Source: RNAcentral